AUGAGCUCUUCCUCUGCCGCCGCACCUCCUGCCAUGCGCUCCGGCGUGUGGGACGGCUCCGAGGUGGACGACGACCACAUUGAGUUCCUUCGUAAGACGCGUCGCCUCCCCGGCGAGAACCUAGUGCGGGCCCGCGCCGCGCCGGCGAGGGAGAUAUCACCGGCGCCGGAGGAGGGCGAGCGGGUCAUAUUCCGCUCGCACCUCAUGCGCGGCCUAGGGCUGCCGGCGAGCGGUUUCUUCCGCUCCUUCUUGGAGUUCCAUGGGCUCCAGCCGCACCACCUCACUCCGAACAUGGUGGUGCUGCUAGCUGCCUUUGCCACCUUGUGCGAAGGCUUCCUCGGCGUUCUCCCCACCAUCGAGCUAUGGGGGGAGUUCUUUCAGUCCAAGCUCGGCACGCACGUCACCGGUAUGCCGGCCCAGUGUGGUGCCUUCAUCACGAUGUGGAGAUCGGUGGCCGACAACCCAUUUCCCACCAUUCCGCUGAUUAAGUCGGUGAAGAUGUGGCAGCGGUCUUACUUUUAUGUGAAGAACGUCGCCCUAGACGGCGACUGGGUCAAUCUGCCGCCUUACAAAGUCGGCGCACUGGCUAGGAGGCUCCCCAGCUGGUUCCACCGAGUCAAUACGCUGACUCCUGCUGGUUCUGCCGCCGUCACUCGACUCCGAGUACUGAUGCAGUCAGAGGGUCUGACCAGGGCCGACCUGCUGGCCACCUUCGUGGCGCGCCGAGUCCUCCCACUCCAAGGCCGACCUCAUCUGAUCUGUCAGAUGAGCGGCCACCGAGACCCGAGUCGGAUGUGCUCCAAGGACAUGCCCCACGCGGAGGUGGCGGACACGGUGAAUUAUAUCGCGAACUGCAAUCUCGCGGCGGAUUGGCAGUUCGUCAAGGAGCCGUACUCACGCGCCAUCCCCCCGCCUGCCAACCCCCUCAUCCAGCCUUCAGCCGGCACCACGGGCCCGGCCCGUGAGUUCGUCUCCGACCGGGCGGAGAGCGACGUCGACGACCCUGACUUUGGGGCGGCGGCAAUGGAGGCCGAUGCCGAAGGAGGAGGAGGUGGAGGAGGCUUCAGGCCCUCGGCCACUUUUGCCGACUGGCCUGAUGACGAUGCUGAGGGGGAAGUUGCCCCACGCCACCAACCAAAGGUCGGCCAGCCGGGCGCGAGUUCCUCCACCGGCUUGGAUGGUCAAGGCGGCACGAAGAGGCGCCGGGCCGGGCCGAGCUUGCUUGGCGGCCGGUCGAAGAAGUUCAAGGGGGCGGCCGCCGCGACCAAGCGGGAAGAGGCGGUCAUGAAAGCCAACCGCUUCUGUAAGCAAGUGAAUAAGCCGCCACUGGUCUCUGCGGCUCCUCUUACAUUUGAGAGGGUCGCCGGCGCCUCCGUCAUGGGGUCGGCAGACACGCCCGCCACUACUCGGUGUAUUGACCCCGCCGCCGACCACCGGGAGGCGACGGGGCGGAACACGCGAGAGAAGCGCGACGAGGACGAAACCGCCCGCCUGGAGAAGGCGAAGGCCUAG
Molecule: ribosomal RNA, 1512 nt
Filed under: Triticum aestivum (bread wheat)
Lineage: Eukaryota; Viridiplantae; Streptophyta; Magnoliopsida; Poales; Poaceae
Description: partial small subunit ribosomal RNA
Source: RNAcentral